RNAcentral lists this ribosomal RNA (257 nucleotides) under Serratia marcescens. Its description in RNAcentral is "partial 23S ribosomal RNA". It matches the Rfam family "Bacterial large subunit ribosomal RNA", at positions 2691 to 2925 of the family's 2925-position model. Lineage: Bacteria; Pseudomonadati; Pseudomonadota; Gammaproteobacteria; Enterobacterales; Yersiniaceae. The record is from RNAcentral.
ACCGGAGUGAACGCACCACUGGUGUUCGGGUUGUCAUGCCAAUGGCAUUGCCCGGUAGCUAAGUGCGGAAAAGAUAAGCGCUGAAAGCAUCUAAGCGCGAAACUUGCCUCAAGAUGAGUCUUCCCUGGACCUUUAAGGUCCCUGAAGGAACGUUUAAGACUAAGACGUUGAUAGGCUGGGUGUGUAAGUGCAGCGAUGCAUUGAGCUAACCAGUACUAAUGAUCCGUGAGGCUUAACCUUACAACACCGAAGGUGUU